RNAcentral lists this unclassified non-coding RNA (343 nucleotides) under soil metagenome. RNAcentral's name for it is "partial contains 5.8S ribosomal RNA, internal transcribed spacer 2, and large subunit ribosomal RNA". The stretch from base 1 to 120 matches the Rfam family "5.8S ribosomal RNA", at positions 35 to 154 of the family's 154-position model. The record is from RNAcentral.
GAUGAAGAACGCAGCGAAAUGCGAUAAGUAAUGUGAAUUGCAGAAUUCAGUGAAUCAUCGAAUCUUUGAACGCACAUUGCGCCCGCUAGUAUUCUGGCGGGCAUGCCUGUCCGAGCGUCAUUUCAACCCUCAAGCCCCCGGGCUUGGUGUUGGCGAUCGGCGAGCCUCCGCGCCCGCCGUCCCCUAAAUCUAGUGGCGGUCUCGCUGUAGCUUCCUCUGCGUAGUAGCACACCUCGCACUGGGAAACAGCGCGGCCACGCCGUUAAACCCCCAACUUCUGAACGUUUGACCUCGGAUCAGGUAGGAAUACCCGCUGAACUUAAGCAUAUCAAUAAGCGGAGGA